AAGCCUGUGACUGAAGCUAACGCACUUUAGAAGAAGGAAAAAGGAAGUUGAUAAACAAGGAAAAGGGGAAGAAGAAAAAAAUGACAGAAUGAAAGGCUUAAUAAAAUUGAGUAUUAUAUGUGUUGCUUUUCCCUCAUUCUCACUCCUCUCCACCUUCAAAACUUCUAGUUUGGAAACAAACAAGUCACGAAUAAUAGAAUUGAGGUUCUCUUGAUAAUUACAUGCUUCUAAGAAAACAUCUGGAGCUGGCAGCAUAUAUGUAUGAGAAGAUCUUAACCAUCCCAGUUAUAUUCAUCUAUCUUUGUUUGCCUCUAGCUUGUUAAUUUUGUACUCCAUUUUUCAUUUUAUUAUCAUGCAUGAUUCACUAGGUAUUCCUGUUUGCUUCACAUCUAGCAAGAAGCAAAACAAUGAGCCAGCGGCUACCAUAACCUGGUCAGGCCAGAGUGCAUCUAUGUCAGUCUAUCGAACAAAAUUAGCCGGCUACUGCCGUUUGAUCACCAUCACAUGGUGCAAGAACCUGAUGCUACAUGGCCUCUCUCUUUCUGUUCAAGCAACAAAUGGAAACGAGAAUUACCUGUGCAAAAUGGAAUUGAAGCCCUGGUACUUCUGGAGAAAACAAGGCUCCAAGCAAUUUGUAGUGGAUGGUAAGACUGUUGAUGUGGCGUGGGACCUCAAGGCCGCAAAAUUCAAUGGCGAGACAGAGCCACAAUCAGAUUACUAUAUUGCUGUUGUCUCUGAAGGGGAAGUAGUUCUACUUCUUGGUGAUCUAAAGAAAGAUGCAUAUAGGAAGACUGGAUGUAGGCCCGCUCUUAUUGAUCCCAUUUUAGUUUCGAGGAAGGAGCACAUGUUUGGCAAGAAGAAGUUUUCUACAAGGAUCAAGUUUCAUGAGAAGGGCAGGGUUCAUGAGAUCUCAAUUGAAUGCAAGAACAGAAGUCCUAAUAAUAGCAAUUCUGCUAAUGGGGUUGAGCCAGAAUUGGAGAUAAGGAUUGAUGGACAUUUGGCAAUUCAUGUGAAGCAUCUUCAAUGGAAGUUCAGAGGUAAUCAGUCCUUUAAUCUUAACAAACUAAGAGUAGAGGUGUGCUGGGAUGUCCAUGAUUGGCUAUUUAGUCCUGGUUUAAGACAUGCUUUGUUUAUCUUUAAGCCAAUAUUGCCAUCCACAUCCCUUUCCUCGCUAUCAACAUCAUCUUCAUCACCACCGUUAUCGUCCUUGACAUCGACACCACUGUCUUCUCAGACUGGAAGCUCAGGUUCAUUAGAGGGACUUAAUGCUGGUGGGUCAUCUGAUUUUUGCUUGUUUCUCUAUGCUUGGAAAGUUGAAUGAUAAAAGAAGAAGAUAUAGCAGCAAAUACGCAUCACCACAUGUAGCAGCAAAUACGCAUCACCAUCAACACCCAAAAGAAUAAGGUUGUAAAAAGAGAUAUGAAGUGUUGAUGUUAUGGGCCAGCAUAUGGAGGUGGUGAGGAUACAGAUUGGGGCGAGAGAGGGACAGGUGAUUAGGAUGAGAAAGGAAGUAGGACCGAAGAGAGAGGUUGGGAGUUAGUUACAGCUGGGGAUGAACAAGUGGGCAUAACUGGACAAGACAGAUUGUAUCACAUACACGACCAAUAAUUUAACAUCUAGAGGCAUCUCUAUCUGUUUUUUCACAAAAUUCUCUUCUUUUGUUUUCCCCUCUCUCUUUCUUGAUCUGGUCUUGAAAUAUGAGCAAUUCACCUUUCACAUUGUACCUAAAUCUACCAAUAUGUAUGCUUCCCACAGUUUAUAUAUAGGAAAAAAAAUUAUAGACAAGGUUUUUUCCACAGGUUGCCCUGAAUGUCUGUAUCGGGCAAAUUAAACAGUGCUGGCUGGUGCAUGUGAUGAUAAGAGUGGGGGGGGCAGGUUGCCCUGAAUGUCUGUAUCGGGCAAAUUAAACAGUGCUGGCUGGUGCAUGUGAUGAUAAGAGUGGGGGGGGCAGGUUGCCCUGAAUGUCUGUAUCCGGCAAAUUAAACAGUGCUGGCUGAUGCAUGUGAUGAUAAGAGUGGGCGGGGGCUUUUCUGUAAUUGGAAUGUGUUAAUUGCC
RNAcentral lists this unclassified non-coding RNA (2055 nucleotides) under Hevea brasiliensis (rubber tree). The record is from RNAcentral. Lineage: Eukaryota; Viridiplantae; Streptophyta; Magnoliopsida; Malpighiales; Euphorbiaceae.